UCUUGGGGUUUGAUUUUUGUGGUGUUUGGAGGUGGCGCCGCCGCCAGAGAAUGUUAGGGCGACGCUAAGGUUUUGCUUUUGAUCUAAUAUUCGAGAAGUUCCAGGGAAAUUUGAGAAGAAUUGUUUGGAUAUUUGGGAUGGGGAGGUGGAGAGGAGUUUAUGGUGUUAAUUUGGUAGUUAUUGGACCACCGGAACUGUCGUGAUGCGAUUUUCUGUGGGCGGAGUAGGGUGGAUGCGAUGUGGGAUUUGAGGGAAGCAGUCUCUAGGGUUUGGGAGAGA
RNAcentral lists this long non-coding RNA (279 nucleotides) under Nicotiana benthamiana. Its description in RNAcentral is "long non-coding RNA (NBEN_LNC014836)". Lineage: Eukaryota; Viridiplantae; Streptophyta; Magnoliopsida; Solanales; Solanaceae. The record is from RNAcentral.